CAGCCGCCGCGGGAAUACGGAGGGGGCUAGCGUUGUUCGGAAUUACUGGGCGUAAAGCGCACGUAGGCGGCUUGGUAAGUUAGAGGUGAAAGCCUGGAGCUCAACUCCAGAAUUGCCUUUAAGACUGCCGAGCUAGCAGGUGAGAGAGGUAAGUGGAAUUCCGAGUGUAGAGGUGAAAUUCGUAGAUAUUCGGAAGAACACCAGUGGCGAAGGCGGCUUACUGGCUCAUACUGGACGCUGAGGUGCGAAAGCGCGGGGAGCAAACAGGAUUAGAUACCCGCGUAGUCCCUGUCUCUUAUAC
RNAcentral lists this ribosomal RNA (301 nucleotides) under uncultured bacterium. RNAcentral's name for it is "partial 16S ribosomal RNA". It matches the Rfam family "Bacterial small subunit ribosomal RNA", at positions 509 to 807 of the family's 1533-position model. The record is from RNAcentral.